CCCUUAGAUGUCCUGGGCCGCACGCGCGCUACACUGAUGCAUUCAACGAGUUUUACCUUGGCCGAGAGGCCUGGGCAAUCUUUUAAACCUGCAUCGUGAUAGGGAUAGAUUAUUGCAAUUAUUAAUCUUGAACGAGGAAUUCCUAGUAAACGCAGAUCAUCAAUCUGCAUUGAUUACGUCCCUGCCCUUUGUACACACCGCCCGUCGCACCUACCGAUUGAAUGGUCCGGUGAAGCCUCGGGAUUGUGGCCAGUUCACUUUAUUGGGAGUUGGCUGCGAGAACUUGUCUAAACCUUAUCAUCUAGAGGAAGGUGAAGUCGUAACA
Molecule: ribosomal RNA, 325 nt
Filed under: uncultured eukaryote
Lineage: Eukaryota
Description: partial 18S ribosomal RNA
Rfam family: Eukaryotic small subunit ribosomal RNA
Source: RNAcentral